Molecule: long non-coding RNA, 1171 nt
Organism: Armigeres subalbatus
Lineage: Eukaryota; Metazoa; Arthropoda; Insecta; Diptera; Culicidae
Exons: 3
Source: RefSeq, a predicted model, not a curated record
AAUUGAUUGGAGAAGAAGUCAUUAUUUAGAUAACCAAUUAACUCAUUCAAAAUGAAAAUGCUUCAUUUUGAAAGUGGAACGAUGGGGCAUUGUAACCGUUAGGUUCCAUUAGAAGCUUGUAGCUCCACCACAAGUAUAAAAAAUAAACAAAAUCCCUAAAAAUAAUCCUAAAACACCCCUAUUGCAAACAUAAUGAAAUCAGUGAGAAAUAUAUUUCUCACAUUUCUCAGCAAUUGAGUGCCGUAAUCUCAUACUAAAAUGUCACUGUCAGCGGUUGACACAUAUGUAGACCAGUUUGAACGGAAGGGACAAAUCUUUACUUGGCCCUUUCUCGUCCACAAACAGAUGGAGCGCAUGUGAGAUGAUGAAUAGGGUGCAUUAGCCGCGAAUAUUGUCCACACAUAAUGUUUUUUUUAAUGCAACAGCAUUUACCUAUAAAAGAAGGGUUCUGAUGUGGAAACGCUCUCCUUUUCGCUUGUGAUCCUGGACCGAUUAGUAGUGGGCGCGUGUGUAGAAUACUCCAAGAUUUUGAGGUUAGAUUGUGAUACCUCGUUUUUGUGGAAAUGGUAUAAUUCAGUGUUAUUUUCUUAAAAUAGGUUCAGCACCUGUACAGCUAGUUUGUUAGUAACUUAAAACUAGUGUUAAUCUGUAAAAACUGAAACGCUAAAGGUUCCUACUAUACUGCAUCUGAAAAGUGAAACUAAAACUAAACAGAGAAACUUGUAAGAAAAAGGCCCAAGAAGUGGGCCUUUUUCUUCUACUCGGCAGUAAAGCUCGACAAGUGGCCAACCUACGGCGAAAUCAAGACCUUGGAGUGAAGCGCGUCGUGGCCAGGGGAACAGCGGAAGAAACGCGCAAGGUCGGUAUCCUUGCAGCAGGUUUGGAAUGCUUUCCGGAACCGUCGGUGGUCCACCAUUUUGUGGGAUUAGAGUAGCCACUUUCUGGACGUCGACCAAAGCCUCGGCGACGCCAUAUUUCCAUCAUUUUCCAGCCCGAUCCGUUGGCAUGAACGGCAUCCCGUUUCCGGAACCGUCUGGAGAUUUCAAUCGUCCUUCGAAUCCCGGACGAAUCCCAGUUCCUCGAAACGUUCCUCGUCCAAAGCCAGUGUACCACUCCUCGGCCAAAUUGAAAACUACCCCGAACAUCAGCAACGAUACAAAUUAUGCGCAAG